CGGGCUUGAAUUGCAGAUGUUUAUAUCAGAGAUGAUAUAUUCCCUUCGGGGCAUUUGUGAAGGUGCUGCAUGGUU
Molecule: ribosomal RNA, 75 nt
Filed under: uncultured Prevotella sp.
Lineage: Bacteria; Pseudomonadati; Bacteroidota; Bacteroidia; Bacteroidales; Prevotellaceae
Description: partial 16S ribosomal RNA
Source: RNAcentral